This 411-nucleotide ribosomal RNA is filed under the name Triticum aestivum (bread wheat). Its description in RNAcentral is "partial small subunit ribosomal RNA". Lineage: Eukaryota; Viridiplantae; Streptophyta; Magnoliopsida; Poales; Poaceae. The record is from RNAcentral.
AUGAAUCUGUUAUGUUGGAACUAUCGAGGUUUGGGAACGAACUCGAUAGUUGGAGAACUUUACUGAUUAGUGCAGUCACUUUGUCCCUUCCUCGUCUUCUUGCCAGAAACUAAGAUGAGGGAUUCUAGGUCGAAGGACUUGAUGUGGUCGUUGGGAUAUGAUUCUUGUUUUGCUGUGAGUAGUAAUGGUUUAAGUGGUGGGCUUGCUCUAUACCGGUCAUCUUCUUUAUCAGUGUCUUUUAAGGCUUUCUCACAACGCAUCAUUGAUGUAACAGUGGAGUCAACUUCGGUUUCUAAUUGGCUUGCCACCUUUGUUUAUGGGGAGUCCAAAAAAGAGUUUCGACAUGAAUUUGGAAUAACUUGUGCUUCCUCUGCGAGCACAGUGGUACGGACCAUGGAUUUGCAUCGGUGA